RNAcentral lists this transfer RNA (64 nucleotides) under Lynceus grossipedia. RNAcentral describes it as "tRNA-Ile". Lineage: Eukaryota; Metazoa; Arthropoda; Branchiopoda; Diplostraca; Lynceidae. The record is from RNAcentral.
AGUUAGAUGCCUGAGAAAAAGGAUUAUCUUGAUGGGAUAAAUUAUGUAAAUUUUACUCUAACUA